Molecule: non-coding RNA, 963 nt
Organism: Xyrichtys novacula (pearly razorfish)
Lineage: Eukaryota; Metazoa; Chordata; Actinopteri; Labriformes; Labridae
Source: the annotation of a GenBank genome assembly
ACGGGUUGGACCCCCUUUUGCCUUCAGAACUGCCUCAAUUCUUCGUGGCAUAGAUUCAACAAGGUGCUGGAAGCAUUCCUCAGAGAGCUUGGUCCAUAUUGACAUGAUGGCAUCACACAGUUGCCGCAGAUUUGUCGGCUGCACAUCCAUGAUGCGAAUCUCCCGUUCCACCACAUCCCAAAGAUGCUCUAUUGGAUUGAGAUCUGGUGACUGUGGAGGCCAUUUGAGUACAGUGAACUCAUUGUCAUGUUCCAGAAACCAGUCUGAGAUGAUUCCAGCUUUAUGACAUGGCGCAUUAUCCUGCUGAAAGUAGCCAUCAGAAGUUGGGUACAUUGUGGUCACAAAGGGAUGGACAUGGUCAGCAACAAUACUCAGGUAGGCUGUGGUGUUGCAACGAUGCUCAAUUGGUACCAAGGGGCCCAAAGAGUGCCAAGAAAAUAUUCCCCACACCAUGACACCACCACCACCAGCCUUAACCGUUGAUACAAGGCAGGAUGGAUCCAUGCUUUCAUGUUGUUGACGCCAAAUUCUGACCCUACCAUCCGAAUGUCGCAGCAGAAAUCGAGACUCAUCAGACCAGGCAACGUUUUUCCAAUCUUCUAUUGUCCAAUUUCGAUGAGCUUGUGCAAAUUGUAGCCUCAGUUUCCUGUUCUUAGCUGAAAGGAGUGGCACCCGGCGUGGUCUUCUGCUGCUGUAGCCCAUCUGCCUCAAAGUUCGACGUACUGUGCGUUCAGAGAUGCUCUUCUGCCUACCUUGGUUGUAACGGGUGGUUAUUUGAGUCACUGUUGCCUUUCUAUCAGCUCGAACCAGUUUGGCCAUUCUCCUCUGACCUCUGGCAUCAACAAGGCAUUUCCGCCCACAGAACUGCCGCUCACUGGAUAUUUUUUCUUUUUCGGACCAUUCUCUGUAAACCCUAGAGAUGGUUGUGCGUGAAAAUCCCAGUAGAUCAGCAGUUUCUGAAAU